Molecule: ribosomal RNA, 253 nt
Filed under: uncultured bacterium
Lineage: Bacteria
Description: partial 16S ribosomal RNA
Rfam family: Bacterial small subunit ribosomal RNA
Source: RNAcentral
GACAGAGGGUGCAAACGUUGUUCGGAUUUACUGGGCGUAAAGCGCGUGUAGGCGGCUUUGCAAGUCGGAUGUGAAAGCCCACGGCUCAACCGUGGAAGUGCAUCCGAAACUGCAUGGCUCGAGUCUCGGAGAGGAAGGUGGAAUGCUUGGUGUAGAGGUGAAAUGCGCAGAUAUCAGGAGGAACACCGGUGGCGAAGGCGGGUCUCUGGGCCGUAACUGACGCUGAGGAGCGAAAGCGUGGGGAGCGAACAGG